GAUGAACGCUGGCGGCGUGCCUAAUACAUGCAAGUCGAGCGAACAGACGAGGAGCUUGCUCCUUUGACGUUAGCGGCGGACGGGUGAGUAACACGUAGGUAACCUACCUAUAAGACUGGGAUAACUUCGGGAAACCGGAGCUAAUACCGGAUAAUAUUUCGAACCGCAUGGUUCGAUAGUGAAAGAUGGCUUUGCUAUCACUUAUAGAUGGACCUGCGCCGUAUUAGCUAGUUGGUAAGGUAACGGCUUACCAAGGCAACGAUACGUAGCCGACCUGAGAGGGUGAUCGGCCACACCGGAACUGAGACACGGUCCAGACUCCUACGGGAGGCAGCAGUAGGGAAUCUUCCGCAAUGGGCGAAAGCCUGACGGAGCAACGCCGCGUGAGUGAUGAAGGUCUUCGGAUCGUAAAACUCUGUUAUUAGGGAAGAACAAACGUGUAAGUAACUGUGCACGUCUUGACGGUACCUAAUCAGAAAGCCACGGCUAACUACGAG
RNAcentral lists this ribosomal RNA (497 nucleotides) under uncultured bacterium. RNAcentral's name for it is "partial 16S ribosomal RNA". It matches the Rfam family "Bacterial small subunit ribosomal RNA", at positions 28 to 507 of the family's 1533-position model. The record is from RNAcentral.